AUUGAACGCUGGCGGCAGGCCUAACACAUGCAAGUCGAACGGUAACAGGAAACAGCUUGCUGUUUCGCUGACGAGUGGCGGACGGGUGAGUAAUGUCUGGGAAACUGCCUGAUGGAGGGGGAUAACUACUGGAAACGGUAGCUAAUACCGCAUAACGUCGCAAGACCAAAGAGGGGGAACUUCGGGCCUCUUGCCAUCGGAUGUGCCCAGAUGGGAUUAGCUAGUAGGUGGGGUAACGGCUCACCUAGGCGACGAUCCCUAGCUGGUCUGAGAGGAUGACCAGCCACACUGGAACUGAGACACGGUCCAGACUCCUACGGGAGGCAGCAGUGGGGAAUAUUGCACAAUGGGCGCAAGCCUGAUGCAGCCAUGCCGCGUGUAUGAAGAAGGCCUUCGGGUUGUAAAGUACUUUCAGCGGGGAUGAAGGGAGUAAAGUUAAUACCUUUGCUCAUUGACGUUACCCGCAGAAGAAGCACCGGCUAACUCCGUG
This 490-nucleotide ribosomal RNA is filed under the name uncultured bacterium. Its description in RNAcentral is "partial 16S ribosomal RNA". It matches the Rfam family "Bacterial small subunit ribosomal RNA", at positions 30 to 507 of the family's 1533-position model. The record is from RNAcentral.